AGUGAACGCUGGCGGUAGGCCUAACACAUGCAAGUCGAACGGCAGCACAGUAAUAGCUUGCUCUUAUGGCUGGCGAGUGGCGGAUGGGUGAUGAAUACAUCGGAAUUUACUUUGUCGUAGGGGAUAACGUAGGGACACUUACGCUAUUACCCCUAACGACCUACGGGUGAAACCAGGGGACCUUCGGCCCUUGCGUGAUUGAAUGAGCCGAUGUCGGGUUAGUUAGUUGGCGGGGUAAAGGCCCAACAAGGCGACGCUCCGUUGCUGGUCUGAGGGGCUGAUCAGCCACACUGGAACUGGACCACGGUCCAGACUCCUACGGGAGGCAGCAGUGGGGAAUAUUGAACAAGGGGGGCAAGCCGGAUCCAGCAAGCCCGCGUGGGGGAAGAAGGCCUUCGGGUGGUAAAGCCCUUUUGUGGGGAAAAAAAAGCAGCAGGUUAAUAUCCCGCUGAGCUGACGGUACCCGAAGAAUAAGCACCGGCUAACUUCGUG
Molecule: ribosomal RNA, 492 nt
Filed under: uncultured bacterium
Lineage: Bacteria
Description: partial 16S ribosomal RNA
Rfam family: Bacterial small subunit ribosomal RNA
Source: RNAcentral